Brassica oleracea var. oleracea is the source of this 129-nucleotide microRNA precursor. It matches the Rfam family "MIR9563 microRNA precursor family". NCBI's taxonomy places the organism in Eukaryota, Viridiplantae, Streptophyta, Magnoliopsida, Brassicales, Brassicaceae. The record is from Rfam.
GGAGUUGCUCUAAUAAACUGACUCUUAAUUUUUAACUAAAAAAGUUAAGAGCCAGCUCUUAAAUAAGAUGUUUAAGAGUUGGUUCUUAACUUUUUUAGUUAAAAGUUAAUAGACGGUUUCUUAUAUUCC